RNAcentral lists this long non-coding RNA (427 nucleotides) under Ananas comosus (pineapple). RNAcentral's name for it is "long non-coding RNA (ACOM_LNC032000)". Lineage: Eukaryota; Viridiplantae; Streptophyta; Magnoliopsida; Poales; Bromeliaceae. The record is from RNAcentral.
UAUCAAUCAAUCCUAACAUAAGUGAUAAAAAAUUUAAUAAUUAUUACUGAGAUUUCAAAUACGAAUUCUAAUUUAUUUAUAUUUUUAAGCUAAAUAUAUUUUUUAAAAAAUAAAUAAAAUAAAUAGUAUGGUAUAUUUUUCUCUCAAAAAAAAAGUAUUUACUUAUUGGGUUACCAAAUGUGUUACACAUAUUUAGGUAUGCAAAUAGAUUCGAAUUUGUGGAGUUUCCAUCAAUUUCGAAUUGGGCAGUAAGUAAAAACGAAAAAUAUAUAGAAACAUGUAAGCACUUUUGAAUCUAUUCUGAUCCGUCUCAACCUUUCUCAAAUAGAAUGAUUGGUUGAAGCUAAAAAUAUGAUAAAAAUUAAUCAGUCCUGAUCUGAAAAAUAAUUGGAUGAGAAGUGAAAAACCCUCCUGCUCACGGAUCCGC